GCCUAACACAUGCAAGUCGAACGGAGAAAUUAUUUCGGUAAUUUCUUAGUGGCGAACGGGUGAGUAACACGUAAACAACCUGCCUUUUAGAUGGGGACAACAUCUCGAAAGGGAUGCUAAUACCGAAUGUUUUAGCUUUAUCGCAUGAUAGAGCUAAUAAAGGUGGCCUCUAUUUAUAAGCUACCGCUAAAAGAGGGGUUUGCGUCUGAUUAGCUAGUUGGUAGGGUAACGGCCUACCAAGGCAAUGAUCAGUAGCCGGUCUGAGAGGAUGAACGGCCACACUGGGACUGAGACACGGCCCAGACUCCUACGGGAGGCAGCAGUGGGGAAUCUUCCGCAAUGGGCGAAAGCCUGACGGAGCAACGCCGCGUGAACGAAGAAGGUUUUCGGAUCGUAAAGUUCUGUUCUUAGAGACGAAAGAUGCGAUUGUGAAUAAUGAUCGUAAGUGACGGUAACUAAGGAGCAAGCCACGGCUAACUACGUG
Molecule: ribosomal RNA, 484 nt
Filed under: uncultured bacterium
Lineage: Bacteria
Description: bacterial SSU rRNA
Rfam family: Bacterial small subunit ribosomal RNA
Source: RNAcentral